AAAUUAAACCACAAAUAUUGCUUCUAUUGUCAUUGAUGAAUACGCAAGUAUAAAUCAUGGCUGUCAAAAAAAAAUUCUUGUAAGUGAGAUAUUUGACAUGUUUUAUGAUCAUUUCAAUAGAGACAACCUCAAAGCUAUCUUAAUGGUUUCUUUUCUUGAUCUCUCUAAUAUUCUUUAAUACAAGAAGUUUGAACUGUUUUAAGUUAUUCCAUAAAAUCAAUUGACCGAAUUUGGUUAAAUCAACUGUACCUUUUUCUUCUUCUUCUUUGUUCAUAUUGCUCAUACUAAUAUCAACAAUGAUAUAGCGAUAAGGACAAGGAUAUGGAAGGAGCACAUGUAUGUUGACUCUACUGCACUCAAUUACCACUUUUGCCCUUUCAUAGGCCUUUCUUCAUACUUGUUCUUUCCAUUGUUUUCUUGUUUAUUGUCUUCUAUUCUUUUAUUACUCUUGGUCUAUUUGUGAACAUUAUCUUUGAAUAUGAAUAUAUUUUUACAGAGUGCUGCCUCUCUUUCUAUCCUUGUUUGGUUUUACUAAGUUUUAGCUGGAAAAUCUUAACAUUGCCUUAAGUAAAGUGAGGCAUUGAACCUAGAUAGAGCCAAACCUCCAUCAUAAUAAGAAUUGUCUUUUUUUUUUUAAUUUUAAUAUAUACAUAUCUAUACACACAUCUGAGAAGGAGUGUUUUACACACACAAAAGAGACAAUGAGUGCCUAUGACAAGUUCUGCUCUCUUUGACUAUUAUUAUGACAAUUUCAAGUAGGGUGUAAAAAACCAAACUGAACCGACUGGUUCGGGUCGGGUCAGAUUGGUUUAAAAGAAAAAUGGUAUAGAAUUGAACCGAACUAAAGUGAUUUCAGUUUGUUCAAGGUCGGGUGCAGUUCACCUGAUUAGGCUAAAAAUUUUACACCCAACUUAAAAUUAAAGAAAAGAAGCAGCAUUCUUCAGUCUUCAUUCUCCUUAUGUUCUUCAUUGUCUGUUAUUUGUUCCUGUCUGUGGGUGUCUUCGUUCAUUAUCUAUUAGUGGAUCUCCUCUACAUUCUCCUUCGUUCAUCUUCAUUCUCCUCCGUAGAUCUUCUCACAUUCUCUAUCAAUCUUCUCUGUAGCCUCUGACGUGGGUUGAAAUUUUUGAGGUAUUUAACAAUUUUAUAGUAUUUUUAUGUAAAUAUUACGAUAAAUCUGUGUAGAUGAGGUAAAAAGUAUGGUGUUUAUUAAAGAAUUUGUGUUGAAAAGAGUGAGGUCCGAUUUGAUGAAAAUGAAAGCCUAUGAAAGUUGGGGUUUGAGUGAGGAGGGAGAGGUACAUGGAGGGUUAACGUGGCUAUUCUGAAAAGAUAAAUUCCCAUUUUAUCUUUAUAUUGUUUUAUGUAAACUUAUAUUGUUUUUAUGUAAAUUUAUACGGUUUUUAUGUAAAUUUUUAUGUAAAUUGUAUGUUGUUUUUAUCUCAAUUAUUUAAACUCUGUUUUUAUGUAAAUUGUAUGCCGUUUUGAGGUAAAAUGUAUGUUAUUUUUAUGCUAUUGUGUGCAUGAUCAAUAGAACAAAUUAAUGUUGUUCUAGAUUUUAAUUUGACAAUGAUGGUCUGUCAUAGAUUGUAAAGAUUGAGGAAUUUUAUUUUAUUAUGUUUUUGUGACUACUUGGUAGUUCUGGCUGGCUAUGUACUAAGCUAUAAAUUUGUGUGUUUUUUCUGUGUGUUUUGCUUGAUGAUUAUUAUGAUGACUUUACUCUCUGUAGACGAGACUUCAAAACAAAGUUGUUCUAGUCUAGUGUUAGGAAAAAGAAAACCAGUUAAACCACCAUCAUCGGUAUAAGAACAUUUUAUAAAAGUACAAGGAUGUGAUCCUAAAUAUACUAGAGCUGCUUGUAAACAUUGUGGGACUUCAUAUGCUUGUGAUUCCAAAAGAAAUGGCACCAGAAAUCUAAAAAGACAUUUAAAGAAAUGUAAGAAGUAUGCAAAUCCAUUGGAAGAUAAUGUUGAAGGAUAGGGAGAUUCUGAAAAUAGUUUGAUGGCUACAUCCUUCACUUUAGAAAAUUGUAGAACAAUGCUUGUUAGUAUGGUUAUCAUGGAUGAAUUGUCAUUUAAAUUUGUAGAAAGUGAAGGAUUUCAUCAAUUUUGUCAGAUAUUAAAUCCAAAGAUUGUGAUUCCAUCAAGAGUAACUGUUGCAAAGGAUUGUUUAAUUUUCAAAUGUAUAUGAGGGAGAAAAAAAAAGUUAAAAAAUGAAUUAACUCGAAGUGGCCAAAGAGUUUGUUUAACAAUGGAUACAUGGACAUCUGUGUAAAGUAUUAAUUAUAUGAUUAUAAUGGAUCAUUUCAUCGAUGAUGAUUGGAACUUGCACAAAAGAAUUUUGAAUUUUUUUCAAAUAGCUAAUCACAAAGGAGAUACAAUAGGUAGAGCUGUUGAAAAGUUCUCAGAAGGUUAGGGUAUCGAUAGACUCUUUACUGUAACAGUUGAUAAUGCGAGUUCAAAUAGUGUAGCAAUUGCCUACUUGGUUAAAAAGUUUAGAGGUAGAAAUAGGUUGGUGUUGGAUAGUGAUUUUAUUCACAUUAGAUGUUGUGCCCAUAUUCUUAAUUUAAUUGCUAGUGAUGCCUUAAAAGAAUUGUAUGUGUCUAUCAUUUGAAUCAGAAAUGUUGUGAAGUAUGUUAGGUCAUCUCGUGCUAAAUUGCAAAUAUUUUAAGAUUUUGCUAAAGAAGAUAAAAUGCUAACAAAAAAUUGUCUAACGAUGGAUGUUCCAACAUGAUGGAAUUCUACUUUCACUAUGUUCGAUGGAGCAAUUAAGUGUAAACAAACGUUUGAAAGAUUAGAGGAGCAUGGCCCUAAUUAUUUGCCAAAGGAUGAUAUUUCUACGGCUGAAGAUUGGGAUAGUGCAAAAGUGUUUGUAAAGUUCCUAAAAACUUUUUCAGAGAGUUUUGAAGCACAGGGACGGAAGCAUAGUGAUGGAAGCACUUUGGGUUAGAUUUUUAUCCAAUGUUUGUAUAAUGUUGUUCCUGAUCUAAAAAUAUUUCGAAUCAAAUCACCAAUGCCUCACAAAGGAUCAAGCUGGAAAAAUGAUCCACAUGCUGCAUUUGCUUUAAUCACUGAUGGGAAGAAUUUAACAGAAGGCACUGGUAACAAGGUUAGUGAACGAAGGUAUUAGGAAAAUUACUUUAGCAAUUGGCGAUGGUGCAAACAAUGUAGGAAUGAUUUAAGAGGCUGAUAUUGGUAUCGGUAUCGGUGUCCGUAUGAUGUAGGUCUUGUAUGAAAAACCUUUGGUCAUUAAUAGAAAAAAAAGGUAAACAGUUUCUUUCUCUGAAGUUGGAAAAAUUCAAGCUGAGAAAUUUUUGUUGUGUCAUAGACAUAGUUAUUGAAUUACCAAUUAUAGUUAUCUUUAUAAGUGCACCCUUUU
Molecule: long non-coding RNA, 3372 nt
Organism: Cucumis melo (muskmelon)
Lineage: Eukaryota; Viridiplantae; Streptophyta; Magnoliopsida; Cucurbitales; Cucurbitaceae
Exons: 3
Source: RefSeq, a predicted model, not a curated record